Long non-coding RNA from Equus caballus (horse), 3918 nucleotides. The record is from Ensembl. NCBI's taxonomy places the organism in Eukaryota, Metazoa, Chordata, Mammalia, Perissodactyla, Equidae.
GCCAUUUCCUGAGUUAUUUGACCCUAUUAUGAGUGUGGUAGGAUUCCAAGACUUCCAGUGUGUUUCUUGAGCUUGUUGGUAGCACGGAAAAGCUGUCCACGCCUACGGCAACUGGGACAGGAAUGAUUCCAGCGGGGGAUGUACCCUUUGCUGUGGUGUGUGAGGCUCCUCUCCUGUCCCAGCUUCCUAGUUCUGGGCAAGUUGCAAAUUGCUGAAACUGUCAGUAGGGGUCCCUGGGCAGCAAUAAUGGGGUUUCCAUUGUCCCAGGUCAAACCCUUUUAGCCCCUUUUGUGGUUCCGUCUUCAAAUUCCUUUCCUUUAGCUAGUUCGUCUUGUUCUCUAGUAUGCGUGAUAGAAAUCUGUGGGGGAAAUGGCAAUGACUCUAAUAAAUCAGCGUUUUUCCAAGUGACGUAUUAGUUCCCAUCAACAUUAGAAAGCCUCUCUUCUUCCAGAUUUGUGCUGUGGCGUGACAGUCCCCAAACACACAUUCACCCCAGCAUAGGCUUUCUCUUCAGACCAGGGGCUAACCCAACAGUUUCAUAGCAGCUAUGAGUCCUGCCACCUGUGUCGAUUUCACGUUUGGGAGAUCAAAUCCCCAAAAUCCCCCGAGGACUGGCCCCUGCACAGUAUGUCUCUCCUCCCUGUGUGCCUCACACAUGAGACCCAUCAGGGAGAGCGGCCAAGUUAACACUGGGACCAGGAACCUCAGAGAAACCAGAAUGAGAGCGAGCAUCUCCCUCUAGGGCUGUGAGGUGGUCAGAACCUGGCAUCACGCAGGAUGGCUUCAAAAAGUGCCCCUGCUGAGACGGCUUGGAACUGACCACAGGCUCUUGGUCUGGCAGGGCAGGGAUGAGCGUGGUGUCUCAUGGACCCCAGAUAGCAGCAGCCCCUCAUGGCAGGUGUGGGUUAAAUAUCCCAGAGUCGAAGCUGGAGCCUUUGCAGUGGGAGGCGGCUGCCCACGGCUCUAAGCACCCAGAGGAGUCUCGUCCACAGAGAAGGGAGCCCGCGCUCACUCACCAUGCAGCCUGAGCGCACACCACCGGCAGCGCACUCGCUCCCACAACAGGAGGGACUCGCGACGGAGGAAGGCACCCCGGCACAGGGAACAGCACGGGGAACAGCGCCGUCUCGAGGGUUUGGAAGGCAGCUUCUCCUUAUUUUGGCCACAGUGCAGAUUCUGCUGGUUCAUCACGUAACAUUUCAGCAAGAGGCUCAGCUGCUACAGAAAAGCAACUUCCCAAAUUGGCAGCUGGUGUGUGUGUUUGUGUGAAAGGUUGCUUCAUUUGUGAAACUGGCUGCCCUCAGGAUGGAACUAUUCUCCAUCUGUCAGCCUAGAACAAAUGUCCCAAAUCCCUGACUUCACUUCCAUAAUGUGUGACUCACCUAGUGAGGCUGAACUUUUUAGUAAAGCUCAGCACAUACAGUGUUAGCAGCUGUCAAGAAAUCUCCCACAUAUUGAAUUAGAAUGGAUCCUCAAGAGGGUGAAAAUUCUUUUGUUUUUCUUGUAAAUGCCUAGAAAACUCAGCAGGCAAAUCUGAGGUUCCAUCGCCGCAAAUACUGAAAACCUCUGUAGGUAAAAGAAAGGUCAGGGAAAGACUAAUCGGGAAAGGAACAGACUCGUAAAUGCUCCACCCUGAGCUCUGAGGUUCCCCUGCCUCAUAAAUCUUGCUCAUUUUUUCCAAUUACUUUUUGUCAGGUUUCUUGGCACAAAAUUCUACUGGAGGAGGUAGCAUAUUUAAGUUACCUUAAAUGUCUUGAUGCUUCCUAACGCUUGUCCGGCAUUCCUUUUUCCAGGGUCCUGGUUUCUUGCAAUAGUGACCGAUUGGCUUUCCAUUAGGGGGCCUCUCUUACCUGUUGGUGGCUCCAGAUAAGAGGUUAUUCCCUUUGUGAAUAAUCCUAACUGGGCAAUCUUAAGUUUCUUUUUGUCUUCUUUACCCUUCUCUAUAGUUUACCAAAAUUGGGUUGCUGACCCCAGUACAUAGCUCUGCUCCUGCCACCCGACUACGCUUCCUCUGCUUGGACUUGACCUCCCGGGAGCAAGGCUGGCACAACAGUGAGGGCACCACCAGUGUGGAGUCCCUGGAGCCAUGCCCUCAGAUUGGAAAAAGCCUCAGGGAACGGCUGGCGACAGUGGACGGAGUCUCUCCUGGCUUCUUGGUCCUGCACCUCUGCGUCUCCCAGUUCCCCUGCAGUGAAAAGGCCUUGAGAGCUGUUGUGGGCAGUCCCUCCUGCUGGUUGUCAGGCACGAGGAGCAGCCCGAGUUCUUGCAGGAGGCAGGAACAGCCUUUGAAGUGGGAGAGCUGACGACAGCGUUUCAGUUUUAUUGCAAAAUAAUUGACACCUGUCACUGUACACAAUAAGAAGAGAAGAAAGAAAAAAGAAGAAAGGAAAAUAUUUUUCUCCUUUGAUGAGGACUCUUAGGAUCCACUCGUCGAGCUUUCCCGUGUGUCGCACAGCAGCGCUGACCUGGGUCGUCGUGUGGCACAUUCCGACCCGGGACGUAGUGUCUGUAACAGGAAGUCUGUACCUUUGCCCACCUGCCUCCACGUCCCUCCCCACCCUCUGCUCUGGUGACCACAAGUCGGAUCUCUUUCUCUAUGAGUUUCGUUGGUUUUUUUAGAUCCCAUCUGUGAGUGAGGUCAUACGGUAUUUGUCUUUCUCUCUGUAUUUCUUUCUAAAUCAAAUCCUAUCUCCUUUUAUCUUUCAGAGAUUUCUCUAAUAUUUGCUGAUCACAUUCUUUUUCAUUUGUCAUUACAUCAUAAAUUUAUUCUUGUUUUAUUGAACCUUUCCUAUCAUUUCAAGGAUGUGGUAGUAGGAGGAGUCAAGAAUAGGCGAGCUAAGUCGGCCCUUUUAAGAUCAGAUCCAAACCACUCUGGACUUCAGGCCAAUGAGGAGUUCCCAGAUUAUUCCUUCUGAUUGGCCCAGAAUUUGUGUUGAGACUUUUAGGUUCUGAACAAGUUAAAAGUCGAUUCCUAUGAAGAAGGCUAUCAUUGCUAUCAUUGUCUUUUUUUCUUUUAACAAAUUUCAGGAUUUUAUUUAAGUUUAUUUCGAAAAUAAAUCUAUUACCCUUAUCCUCUACUCUCUGAAAAGUUUCAUAGAAUAUUAAUUAUAUGUGUCAAUCAACUUAGAAUACUUAGUUUUAUUCUCUAUAUAUUUUUCCUCACAACUCUAUAGUAGAAAAGAAAUAAAGCUUAAUAUCUUAUAUCCUUCUUGUUACUCUCUGUUACAUUUUAAGAAUCUGAUUAAUAAAAUUUCAAUACAUUCAAUUCUUUUGAUGUCUAGACCACUAGGUCUGGGAGUUGCCUGGCCCGGCCGUCGGCGCCUCCCCUCCUGAGCAUGAGCAGCUCUGACAGACGGACCAGACCUCGUCUCCUGUCCUCACUCUUCUCACAAAGACUUUUCAAGGUCAUGGUUUUGCGUGUCCCAGGACCAUGCAGGGUCAGAGUCCAGGAAGUGGUUCAAAAAGGAUGGAGGCGUUAAGAUAAAAUAUCUGUGGUUUGAAGGCCUGCUCGAGUCUAAUCUUUAGGAACAUGUAACCUCUUCACAUUUUAAAGUAACUGGGCUUUUCAUGUAUUACCCUUCAUAUGCAGUCAUGUGCCGCAUAACAUUUUGGUCAACGACAGACUGUAUUCAACGGUGGUCCCAUAAGAUUAGCACCAUAGAGCCCAGAUGUGUGGGAGUUUAUACCAUCUAGGCUCAUGUAUGUACACGCUACAAUGUACACACAAGGACAAAAUCACCUGACGAUGGGUUUCCCAGAACGUGUCCCCAUCAAGUGGCGCAUGACUGUAUUUACAUUUGUUACAUUCUUGAGAUCAUAAUUUUGUACCAUUUUGAAAAUUGUCAUUUUCAUUCUUUUACUGAACAUAUUCCAUGUUUUUAUAAAGUCCUGUAUCUGUGGGCAAUAACUAAAUAAAGG